AUGCUACAUUCUUCAGCAGCUUGUAUACCAAAAUUACAACAAUACAGAGAUUAACAUGGCACUUGUACAAGGAUGAUAUGAAAAUUUGUGAAGUAUUCAAAAUUUUU
Dipodomys spectabilis (banner-tailed kangaroo rat) is the source of this 107-nucleotide small nuclear RNA. The record is from RefSeq and is a predicted model, not a curated record. Lineage: Eukaryota; Metazoa; Chordata; Mammalia; Rodentia; Heteromyidae.